Molecule: ribosomal RNA, 798 nt
Filed under: uncultured Glomeromycotina
Lineage: Eukaryota; Fungi; Glomeromycota
Description: SSU rRNA
Rfam family: Eukaryotic small subunit ribosomal RNA
Source: RNAcentral
AUCAACUUUCGAUGGUAGGAUAGAGGCCUACCAUGGUGGUAACGGGUAACGGGGUGUUAGGGCACGACACCGGAGAGGGAGCCUGAGAAACGGCUACCACAUCCAAGGAUGGCAGCAGGCGCGCAAAUUACCUAAUCCCGACACGGGGAGGUAGUGACAAUAAAUAACAAUACGGGGUUCUUUAGGAUUUCGUAAUUGGAAUGAGUACAAUUUAAAUCUCUUAACGAGGAACAAUUGGAGGGCAAGUCUGGUGCCAGCAGCCGCGGUAAUUCCAGCUCCAAUAGCGUAUAUUAAAGUUGUUGCAGUUAAAAAGCUCGUAGUUGAAUUUCGGGAUCAAAUUGUCGGUCGUGCCUCGGUACGUACUGGUAUUAUUGGUUCCUCCCUUCUGACGAACCACGAUGUCAUUAAUUUGGUGUCAUGGGAAAUCAGGACUGUUACUUUGAAAAAAUUAGAGUGUUUAAAGCAGGCUCGCGCUUGAAUACAUUAGCAUGGAAUAAUGAAAUAGGACGUUUGAUUCUAUUUUGUUGGUCUCUAGAAUCGACGUAAUGAUUAAUAGGGAUAGUUGGGGGCAUUAGUAUUCAAUUGUCAGAGGUGAAAUUCUUGGAUUUAUUGAAGACUAACUACUGCGAAAGCAUUUGCCAAGGAUGUUUUCAUUAAUCAAGAACGAAAGUUAGGGGAUCGAAGACGAUCAGAUACCGUCGUAGUCUUAACCAUAAACUAUGCCGACUAGGGAUCGGAUGAUGUUAAUUUUUUAAUGACUCAUUCGGCGCCUUACGGGAAACCAAAGUGUUUGGGUUC